CCUACGGGGGGCAGCAGUGAGGAAUAUUGGUCAAUGGACGAGAGUCUGAACCAGCCAAGUAGCGUGAAGGAUGACUGCCCUAUGGGUUGUAAACUUCUUUUAUAUGGGAAUAAAAUGUUCCACGUGUGGGAUUUUGUAUGUACCAUAUGAAUAAGGAUCGGCUAACUCCGUGCCAGCAGCCGCGGUAAUACGGAGGAUCCGAGCGUUAUCCGGAUUUAUUGGGUUUAAAGGGAGCGUAGGUGGAUUGUUAAGUCAGUUGUGAAAGUUUGCGGCUCAACCGUAAAAUUGCAGUUGAAACUGGCAGUCUUGAGUACAGUAGAGGUGGGCGGAAUUCGUGGUGUAGCGGUGAAAUGCUUAGAUAUCACGAAGAACUCCGAUUGCGAAGGCAGUUCACUGGACUGAAACUGACACUGAGGCUCGAAAGUGUGGGUAUCAAACAGGAUUAGAUACCCUAGUAGUC
This 460-nucleotide ribosomal RNA is filed under the name uncultured bacterium. Its description in RNAcentral is "partial 16S ribosomal RNA". It matches the Rfam family "Bacterial small subunit ribosomal RNA", at positions 338 to 795 of the family's 1533-position model. The record is from RNAcentral.